UGACAAAAAUGUGGCCGUCGUGUUAACUCUCGUGUCGGAUCUCUUUAUAGAAUCGCUUGAUACACAUUCUUUGCUGUUUAGCAGAUUUUAAACCUGAGCCAUCCACUGUAACCACAAGAUUUACAAGUCUUUGCUUGUGAUGGACCUUUCUUCAGCAACUAUCUCAGUCUCAUCAUCGCUUGGGUAAACAGCAUCCUGUUUGAUUAAAGAAACUAUCCAUGUCGGUCGAUUAUCUCUUCUUUGCCUUUCUUUAAAUGUCCUCGUGUAUGCCCAUGUGAGUGUGGGUGUAUUCACGAGGACUCCCAUUUUUCCUAUCCUGCCUGGUGUGGA
Long non-coding RNA from Daphnia pulicaria, 330 nucleotides. RefSeq lists it as uncharacterized. The transcript has 3 exons. NCBI's taxonomy places the organism in Eukaryota, Metazoa, Arthropoda, Branchiopoda, Diplostraca, Daphniidae. The record is from RefSeq and is a predicted model, not a curated record.